GACGAACGCUGGCGGCGUGCUUAACACAUGCAAGUCGAGCGGUAAGGCCCCUUCGGGGGUACACGAGCGGCGAACGGGUGAGUAACACGUGAGCAAUCUGCCCAUCACAUCGGGAUAACUCCGGGAAACCGAAGCUAAUACCGAAUACGACCACCUCCGGCAUCGGAUGGUGGUGGAAAGUUCCGGCGGUGAUGGAUGAGCUCGCGGCCUAUCAGCUUGUUGGUGGGGUAACGGCCCACCAAGGCUUCGACGGGUAGCCGGCCUGAGAGGGUGACCGGCCACACUGGGACUGAGACACGGCCCAGACUCCUACGGGAGGCAGCAGUGGGGAAUAUUGGACAAUGGGCGAAAGCCUGAUCCAGCAACGCCGCGUGAGGGAUGACGGCCUUCGGGUUGUAAACCUCUUUCAGCAGGGACGAAGCGCAAGUGACGGUACCUGCAGAAGAAGCACCGGCCAACUACGUG
RNAcentral lists this ribosomal RNA (465 nucleotides) under uncultured bacterium. Its description in RNAcentral is "partial 16S ribosomal RNA". It matches the Rfam family "Bacterial small subunit ribosomal RNA", at positions 28 to 507 of the family's 1533-position model. The record is from RNAcentral.